This 465-nucleotide ribosomal RNA is filed under the name uncultured bacterium. Its description in RNAcentral is "partial 16S ribosomal RNA". It matches the Rfam family "Bacterial small subunit ribosomal RNA", at positions 338 to 795 of the family's 1533-position model. The record is from RNAcentral.
CCUACGGGAGGCUGCAGUAGGGAAUCUUCCACAAUGGGCGAAAGCCUGAUGGAGCAACGCCGCGUGGGUGAAGAAGGUCUUCGGAGCGUAAAACCCUGUUGUUAGAGAAGAAAGCGUGUGAGAGUAACUGUUCACGUUUCGACGGUAUCUAACCAGAACGGCUCGGCUAAUUACGUCCCAGCAGCUGCGGUAAUAGGUCGGUGGCAUGCGUUAUCCGGAUUUAUUGGGAGUAAAGGGAACGCAGGCGGUCUUUUAGGUCUGAUGUGAAAGCCCUCGGCUUAACCCGUGAAGUGCAUGGGAAACUGGGGGUCUUGAGAGCAGAAGAGGAAAGUGGAACGCGUGGUGUAGCGGUGAAAUGCUUAGAGAUAUGAAAGAACACCAGUGGCGAAGGCAGCUCUCUGGUCUAUAUCUGACGCUGAGGUUCGAAAGCGUGGGUAGCAAACAGGAUUAGAUACCCCAGUAGUC